GAUGAACGCUGGCGGCGUGCCUAAUACAUGCAAGUCGAGCGAACAGAUAAGGAGCUUGCUCCUUUGACGUUAGCGGCGGACGGGUGAGUAACACGUGGGUAACCUACCUAUAAGACUGGAAUAACUCCGGGAAACCGGGGCUAAUGCCGGAUAACAUUUAGAACCGCAUGGUUCUAAAGUGAAAGAUGGUUUUGCUAUCACUUAUAGAUGGACCCGCGCCGUAUUAGCUAGUUGGUAAGGUAACGGCUUACCAAGGCAACGAUACGUAGCCGACCUGAGAGGGUGAUCGGCCACAAUGGAACUGAGACACGGUCCAGACUCCUACGGGAGGCAGCAGUAGGGAAUCUUCCGCAAUGGGCGAAAGCCUGACGGAGCAACGCCGCGUGAGUGAUGAAGGUCUUCGGAUCGUAAAACUCUGUUAUUAGGGAAGAACAAAUGUGUAAGUAACUGUGCACGUCUUGACGGUACCUAAUCAGAAAGCCACGGCUAACUACGUG
This 497-nucleotide ribosomal RNA is filed under the name uncultured bacterium. RNAcentral describes it as "partial 16S ribosomal RNA". It matches the Rfam family "Bacterial small subunit ribosomal RNA", at positions 28 to 507 of the family's 1533-position model. The record is from RNAcentral.